UUUUUCCCUAACUUCGUUUUCUCAUAGAACCCUAGUCGUCGUGUUCCUCUUCCUUUUCCUUGAGCGCCUCCACACUUUGGCCUCUGUCAUUCCAGCCACUUUCUGAGAUGUCCUUCAUAUUUUAUAUUUUAUCAUGACUCCAUCUUCGUUCUGUAUUAUAUUUCUGUCUCUCUACAAAGCAAGGACAUUUGAGUUUUCUAUGUGAUUGUUGCCACUGGAAUCACCAGGGACAAUUUCGACUAUUUCUAUUAUUGAGACAUUUGAAUUUAAGGCAAUUUCAGCUAUUUCUAUUAUUGGGACACUUGAAUUUUUUAAGUUUGGUAUUUUGUAUCCAAAUCAGAUUGGGAGCUAAAGCACCAAUAACUCAUAUAGAUGUAAUUUUUUAUGUAAAUAAUAAAAAUGAAUUUGAUCAUUAACUUAACAUAA
Molecule: long non-coding RNA, 426 nt
Organism: Lathyrus oleraceus (garden pea)
Lineage: Eukaryota; Viridiplantae; Streptophyta; Magnoliopsida; Fabales; Fabaceae
Exons: 3
Source: RefSeq, a predicted model, not a curated record